UACGGAGGGUGCAAGCGUUAUCCGGAUUCACUGGGUUUAAAGGGUGUGUAGGCGGGUAUUUAAGUCAGUGGUGAAAUCUCCAGGCUCAACCUGGAAACUGCCAUUGAUACUAUUUAUCUUGAAUUUUGUUGAGGUAGGCGGAAUAUGUCAUGUAGCGGUGAAAUGCUUAGAUAUGACAUAGAACACCAAUUGCGAAGGCAGCUUACUAAACAAACAUUGACGCUGAGGCACGAAAGCGUGGGGAUCAAACAGG
This 253-nucleotide ribosomal RNA is filed under the name uncultured bacterium. RNAcentral's name for it is "partial 16S ribosomal RNA". It matches the Rfam family "Bacterial small subunit ribosomal RNA", at positions 524 to 776 of the family's 1533-position model. The record is from RNAcentral.